RNAcentral lists this ribosomal RNA (478 nucleotides) under uncultured bacterium. RNAcentral describes it as "partial 16S ribosomal RNA". It matches the Rfam family "Bacterial small subunit ribosomal RNA", at positions 28 to 523 of the family's 1533-position model. The record is from RNAcentral.
GACGAACGCUGGCGGCGUGCUUAACACAUGCAAGUCGAACGGUAAGGCCCUUCGGGGUAUACGAGUGGCGAACGGGUGAGUAACACGUGGGUGAUCUGCCCUGCACUUCGGGAUAAGCCUGGGAAACUGGGUCUAAUACCGGAUAGGACCACUGCCUGCAUGGGUGGUGGUGGAAAGCUUUUGCGGUGUGGGAUGGGCCCGCGGCCUAUCAGCUUGUUUGUGGGGUGAUGGCCUACCAAGGCGACGACGGGUAGCCGGCCUGAGAGGGUGACCGGCCACACUGGGACUGAGAUACGGCCCAGACUCCUACGGGAGGCAGCAGUGGGGAAUAUUGCACAAUGGGCGCAAGCCUGAUGCAGCGACGCCGCGUGAGGGAUGACGGCCUUCGGGUUGUAAACCUCUUUCAGCACCGACGAAGCGCAAGUGACGGUAGGUGCAGAAGAAGGACCGGCCAACUACGUGCCAGUCGCCGCAGUAA